RNAcentral lists this long non-coding RNA (288 nucleotides) under Vitis vinifera (wine grape). RNAcentral's name for it is "long non-coding RNA (VVIN_LNC007332)". The record is from RNAcentral. Lineage: Eukaryota; Viridiplantae; Streptophyta; Magnoliopsida; Vitales; Vitaceae.
UCGAAUUUGCUUAGAGCAUCCCCCUUGCUUGACUUUGUUUAGAGAAUUCUCUUCAUCAAGUUUAUUAAGGGCAUCCUUUAGGGCAUCCCACUUCCUUAAGUUGGUUUAGGGUAUCCUUCGUCCUUCACCCCAUAAUUAGGAUGUCAUUCUAAGUUCUAUCUAAACAUAAUCAUGUGUUCCCAAGAUUCCUCAUCAUUGGAACACCAUUCAUAGUUCUAUUCAUUUUCAUUCUUAGUUUGUUUAGUUUCAUGUCGUUGAGAUGCCAUCUUAGGUUCUAUCUAAGCUAAU